CCUACGGGUGGCAGCAGUGAGGAAUAUUGGUCAAUGGCCGGAAGGCUGAACCAGCCAUGCCGCGUGAAGGUCAGUGCCCUAUGGGCGUUAAACUUCUUUUGUGCGGGAGCAAUAAUGGUCACGUGUGGCCAGACGAGAGUACCGUACGAAUAAGCCCCGGCUAACUACGUGCCAGCAGCCGCGGUAAUACGUAGGGGGCAAGCGUUAUCCGGCUUUACUGGGUGUAAAGGGGGCGCAGACGGCAAUGCAAGCCAGGAGUGAAAGCCCGGGGCCCACCCCCGGGACUGCUCUUGGAACUGCAUGGAUGGAGUACAGGAGGGGCAGGCGGAAGUCCUAGUGUAGCGGUGAAAUGCGUAGAUAUUAGGAGGAACACCGGUGGCGAAGGCGGCCUGCUGGACUGUGACUGACGUUGAGGCCCGAAGGCGUGGGGAGCAAACAGGAUUAGAUACCCGAGUAGUC
Molecule: ribosomal RNA, 459 nt
Filed under: uncultured bacterium
Lineage: Bacteria
Description: partial 16S ribosomal RNA
Rfam family: Bacterial small subunit ribosomal RNA
Source: RNAcentral